This 202-nucleotide ribosomal RNA is filed under the name uncultured bacterium. RNAcentral's name for it is "partial 16S ribosomal RNA". It matches the Rfam family "Bacterial small subunit ribosomal RNA", at positions 140 to 354 of the family's 1533-position model. The record is from RNAcentral.
GGGAUACGCUGAACAGCGCUAUACGCAUGAUACAGCUGGAGCAUCUCCUGCUGUCAAGAUUUAUCGCUCUGAGAUGAGCUCGCGUCUGAUAGCUAGUUGGCGGGGUAACGGCCCACCAAGGCGACGAUCAGUAGCCGGACUGAGAGGUUGGCCGGCCACAUUGGGACUGAGACACGGCCCAGACUCCUACGGGAGGCAGCAG